UACGGAGGGUGCAAGCGUUAUCCGGAAUCACUGGGUUUAAAGGGUGCGUAGGCGGCUUGGUAAGUCAGAGGUGAAAGCCCGCAGCUUAACUGCGGAACUGCCUUUGAUACUGCCGAGCUUGAAAGAGGUUGAGGUCAGCGGAACGUGACAUGCAGCGGUAAAAUGCAUAGGUAUGUCACAGAACACCAAUUGCGACGGCAGCUGGCUGGGCCUACUAUGACGCUGAGGCCGGAAAGCGUGGGGAGGGAACAGG
RNAcentral lists this ribosomal RNA (253 nucleotides) under uncultured bacterium. RNAcentral describes it as "partial 16S ribosomal RNA". It matches the Rfam family "Bacterial small subunit ribosomal RNA", at positions 524 to 776 of the family's 1533-position model. The record is from RNAcentral.